UAGUAAGGAUCAUCGGCUAACAUCCGUCACGUCCUGUGACAACGUCGGCACUAGCACGUCCUGUGCG
RNAcentral lists this small RNA (67 nucleotides) under Bacillus sp. CECT 9360. RNAcentral describes it as "Bacillaceae-1". It matches the Rfam family "Bacillaceae-1 RNA". The record is from RNAcentral. Lineage: Bacteria; Bacillati; Bacillota; Bacilli; Caryophanales; Bacillaceae.